ACUCCUACGGGAGGCAGCAGUGGGGAAUAUUGGACAAUGGGCGAAAGCCUGAUCCAGCCAUGCCGCGUGUGUGAAGAAGGUCUUCGGAUUGUAAAGCACUUUAAGUUGGGUAGGAAGGGCGAGUAAGUUAAUACCUUGCUGUUUUGUACGUUACCAACAGAAUAAGCACCGGCUAACUUCGUGCCAGCAGCCGCGGUAAUACGAAGGGGUGCAAGCGUUAAUCGGAAUUACUGGGCGUAAAGCGCGCGUAGGUGGUUCAGCAAGUUGGAUGUGAAAUCCCCGGGGCUCAACCUGGGAACUGCAUCCAAAACUACUGAGCUAGAGUACGGUAGAGGGUGGUGGAAUUUCCUGUGUAGCGGUGAAAUGCGUAGAUAUAGGAAGGAACACCAGUGGCGAAGGCGACCACCUGGACUGAUACUGACACUGAGGUGCGAAAGCGUGGGGAGCAAACAGGAUUAGAUA
Molecule: ribosomal RNA, 462 nt
Filed under: uncultured bacterium
Lineage: Bacteria
Description: bacterial SSU rRNA
Rfam family: Bacterial small subunit ribosomal RNA
Source: RNAcentral